Musca domestica (house fly) is the source of this 1286-nucleotide long non-coding RNA. RefSeq lists it as uncharacterized. Lineage: Eukaryota; Metazoa; Arthropoda; Insecta; Diptera; Muscidae. The record is from RefSeq and is a predicted model, not a curated record. The transcript has 2 exons.
UGCGCCUUAAAAAGGGGUAACCAUGAAAAUAAUUGAUAGCCAGAAGAAGAAGAAGAAUGUUGUCAACCAUUAUUAGGGAACAGCUGUUUAUUCCAAUGACUUAAAUGUCAAUAAGGGGGAAUAAUUUAAAAAGAAAAUGGACAAAUUAAACGAGGAAAAUGGCAGCCAGAAUUUCCUGGCAGAAAUUGUAAGAAAAUUCUUUCCUUUUUAUCUCAUCAGCGAAGAAGAUUGGAUGCGUGGCUCCCAGCUCCCAGCGAAGUAAAACACCGGCAUUUUUUGGCGAUAAAUUCCAUAAGUAAAAGGAAUUACAUUUAUUAAUUUGAUGUGUUCAACAAAAUAAAUGAAAAGAAUACAAAAUCCAAACCUUUUUUUUUGCUAAAAAGGCUUAAAUCUUAAAACAAAAUAUAAAUCUUAAAACAAAAUAUAAAAUUUAAAAAGCUAAAAUGUGAACAUUUAAGAACUAAACCUGAAAGUAUUCUUAAUAGUUAUACAAAAACUAAAUAAACAUCUUAAAGUUUGGCAAAAUUUUAAACAAAAUGAAAAUGAAUUAAACUUGAAACAAAACUUAAUAAAUACAAAGAAAAUUAAGAAAAAUCUUAAAAAUUAAGUCCUGGCAGAAUUUUUGGAGUAAAGAGCCACACCAUCGCCCAUCCAAUCCAUCGAGGGAGGCGCAGAUUUUCCGUCACUGCUAUACCAGCGUGACUUGGUAUCUUCCCUAUAGACGUCACUAUAAACUCCGGACAGACAGACGGACGACGAGGCGACAUAAUUAGAUUCCGCGGUUUUCCUGAAAAGAAAAGUACAAUUUUUAAAUAAAAAGGGGUAAACAAAAGAAGUUUAAUUUAAGAUUUACUCGCCUGGUGUUGCAGUGCAGGAUCCCUCGUUGAAUUGAGCUCAUUUCGAGGUUAGGUAUCCACCUUUUUUUCUCGUCGAUUGUUUUUGUGGUGUCGACAUACUGCCUUUUGUUUGUCCUGGCCUGGAAUUGGAAAAUAAAUUAUCAUUUUUUUAAUCUUGAACCGGGAAUGUAGUUAUAAAGCUAAACUUCAUACUAUUACGUACUUACUCUUUGGGAAGAACCUUGUCCAUUAGCUGCCGUCAGUGGUCCUAACUCUUGAUACCCGCCAUCGAACCCUGAAAAGGAAAAAGAAAGAGAAGGAGCCUAGAGUUGGAAUUAAUUUUUUUUAUGGAGUUAAUAAUUACGUUUCCUGCUUUUUUUCAUUGAUUGAUAGUAUAAAUCAAUAUGUAAUGUACAAUAGGUGUAAUAAAAUUGUAUACUUCCAAAUGAA